GCUUGCGCGGAUGCACGAGUGCGCGCACCGGGACCACUGUUCGCUUGUAGUACCCUACUUUCCUUCUCUUUCGCAUUCUCGGGCGAAAAGUAAGGAUUUAAAUCUUUAGGUUCUUCACUUUUCAUUGCAAACGAACUUAUAGAACCUUGCAAACGAACUUUUUAACUACAAACUAUAGACACAUAAACAUUUUCUGUUUAUUGUUUUUCACUCGCCUCAAAAACAAGGGAAGUCACUCGGUUUGCGUGGCAGCAGUUACUUCCCCUACAAUCAUGGCCACGAUACAAACAGCGAAAGCUGUGAUGAGAAAGAAAUGCAGACACACUCUGUCUUUAAUACCAGACGAAGACAAAAUCAAACAAUCAGAGAUCAUUUCGAGAAAGUUGAUGAAUCUACCAGAAUUUGAAGCCAGUAAACGAAUCUCAAUCUACCUGAGUACUUCUGAUGAGGUGCGGACAGAAUCAAUUAUGAAGAAAAUACUGGCUUCCAAUAAGACUUGUUUCAUUCCACAUUAUAGUGGCACAAGCAUGAAAAUGGUAGCACUAAAGUCUCUAGAAGAUUAUGAAAAUCUUCCAUUGACUAAUUGGAAUAUAAAGCAACCUAGUGAUGAUGAUGUUCGCACUGAUGCUCUAGAAACUGGUGGCUUAGACCUAAUUGUGAUGCCUGGGCUUGCAUUCUCCUUGGCUGGAGCUCGUCUUGGGCGAGGCAAAGGCUACUAUGAUGCCUACCUGAAAAAAUGCUAUGAAUAUGGUAACAAACCUAUUACAAUUGCUUUGUGUUUCCAUCAAAUGUUAUUUGAUAACAUCCCUGUUAUACCAGGUUCCGAUAUGUUUGUCAACAAGGUUAUUUACCCAGAUGAAGCAGAUCUCAUGGAGAGCAGAACUAGAUGAAAGCUUUGGCCCUUGUCCAUUCCACCUAGGUUUCACCUGUGAUUGAUAUGUGUGUAUGUAUGUGUGCGUGUGUGUGCGGACGUUAAACGAU
RNAcentral lists this unclassified non-coding RNA (981 nucleotides) under Octopus sinensis (East Asian common octopus). RNAcentral's name for it is "5-formyltetrahydrofolate cyclo-ligase, transcript variant X3". Lineage: Eukaryota; Metazoa; Mollusca; Cephalopoda; Octopoda; Octopodidae. The record is from RNAcentral.